Molecule: non-coding RNA, 1745 nt
Organism: Pimephales promelas (fathead minnow)
Lineage: Eukaryota; Metazoa; Chordata; Actinopteri; Cypriniformes; Leuciscidae
Source: RefSeq, a predicted model, not a curated record
CAACUGACAGACGUUUGUCAAUGUAACUGUGCUUUCUCUAGGUCACUGCCAACAUUGCUCGAGAUGUGUUUCCACCCACAAUGUUUGAGCUGUCUUACUUGUAUGUGAUAAUGUUCUUCUAUCGGGAGUUGGUUAGUGGUGUUUGGAAUCCUUGAAAUAUACUACUUCUCUCUAUUUUCCUUCCCCAUCAGUGUUUCUAUGGAUCCCAGAGCCCUUCAAUAGAGCUGAUCUCGACAGAACAUCACUGCAGGGCACAGAUGACCACUGCGUAUCCAUCUUGUCUAAAUGAAAGCUGAAUCUUAUGAUGCUGACCUCACUCCUGGAUUGGUUCAUUCAGACCACCGUAGAAGGUCCAAGAAGACACAUUUCUUAAAGCUGUAUCACAUCUAAAAAUCCAGUUUGAAUUCUUCAGAGAUAUGGAAAAAAAAAGGACAUAAUUGGAUUAAAUGGCUGUUGAAGAUGGAGUAUAUUUUGUCUACCCUAUGACAGCUAAAUGGGAAGGUUUAACAUGGUGCAUUAAAUCUUGAUAGAUAUACAACUACUUGAAACGAUAUACUUAUAAAUAUCUGUAUGCCGCACAAACAGUUCUGCUUGUUUUAGGGUUAUAGAAGCAGCUUGUUUCUGUGCUUUCUCCCAUUGUGACAUCUGUGAGCAGAUGACUCUGUUAGCUCUGCGUAUGUCACUUCUAGCAAUGUCGAAAUGCUACUCAUCAGAACCUGUGCUUUCAAAGCCUGAGGCUUCAGAAAUUAUUUAACAGUUAAACAAAAGGUACAGUAAAUUAUUUUCACACAAUACACAACAACUCUUUAAAGACAAACGCAUCUCAUUAAUGCUUCAAGUUCCUCCGCUGAAUGUGUUUCUCCCUGCAAUGAAAAUUUCAAAACAUCCAAUCAUGUUUUUCUGAGUGGCAUUUUAACAUCGUCUUAAGUGCCCUUGAGGUUAUCAGCACAGCUCAGACUGAAUUUUAAAAUUCAAUUUUCUUAUUGACUACGAAUGAAACAAUAUCAUUUUGAAGAACGGGGAAAGCAGAAUCGUCUAUAGGCUUAAGAUUUUACAUGCAUUUCCACUGAUGCAAUAAAACUAUAAUUGUUUUUAUUGUCGUCCAUAAACACAUCUCUUUCGUCUUUUUACUGCCAAUUUCACUCAGCUGUUGUCAGCCAAUCUAGCAGUUCUCUCUGUCAUCAUCUCUCUGUUAUGUGCUGAUGGAGAGAAUAAAGUGAUAAAAUGAUUUUAUUUCAUUUAUUUUUCGAUCACUUAGCAGACCGGGUAAUCAGAUUCUGUCACUCUGCCACCAAUAAUAUGAACUCCUAUGAACCACAUUCAAAUUAAAACUCCUUAUGAUAAUGCUACAGUAAGAGAACAUGUCCUGUUAAAGGGGUGGUUUACUGCUUUUUUUCUUUGCAUGAUUGUGUUUAUGGGGUGUAAUAUAACAUGUAUUUGUGGUUUUUCUUUUUUUUUCAUAAAUAUAGAAAAAAAGUCUUAUAUAAUAAGACUUUUUCAUAAGUCUUAUUUUUCAUAAAUUUCACCUUUAUUGUAAGCUGCUUUCUCCUCUGUCAUUUGAACAACCAAUUGACUUCCUGAGUCUAUGAAACCACUCCCUCAGAAACAGGCAGUGGGCUCAGAUUGGUUAGUUUGGGCGAAUUUGCAUGUGUUGUUCACAUGUGUUGUUCAUGUCAAAUGUAAAUAGUGGUGUUGAUACUGCAGUAUCAGUAUGAGCCAGCAUCAGACCGAGAAAGCGACGAUGA